CACGUAGGCGGCUUUGUAAGUUAGAGGUGAAAGCCUGGAGCUCAACUCCAGAAUUGCCUUUAAGACUGCAUCGCUUGAAUCAUGGAGAGGCGGGUGGAAUUCCGAGUGUAGAGGUGAAAUUCGUAGAUAUUCGGAAGAACACCAGUGGCGAAGGCGGCCCGCUGGACAUGUAUUGACGCUGAGGUGCGAAAGCGUGGGGAGCAAACA
RNAcentral lists this ribosomal RNA (207 nucleotides) under uncultured bacterium. RNAcentral's name for it is "partial 16S ribosomal RNA". It matches the Rfam family "Bacterial small subunit ribosomal RNA", at positions 568 to 774 of the family's 1533-position model. The record is from RNAcentral.